AUGAAUAUGGAGGAUGGGUUAGCCGGAGAAUUAUAUGUAUGCUUUAGAGAGUUUGGAGAUAGAGUCAAACAUUGGACUACAGUGAAUGAAGGAAAUGCGUGUUCUAUUGGGGGCAAUUCUUCAACUGAGCCAUAUUUGGUAACUCAUCAUAUGUUGUUAUCACAUGCAUCAACUGCAAAACUGUAUAGGUCAAAGUACAAGGCCAAGCAAAGGGGAUUUAUUGAGCCCGAGACUUCAAUAUUGGGUGAUUUCUGA
Non-coding RNA from Vicia faba (fava bean), 255 nucleotides. NCBI's taxonomy places the organism in Eukaryota, Viridiplantae, Streptophyta, Magnoliopsida, Fabales, Fabaceae. The record is from the annotation of a GenBank genome assembly.